AUGACACAAAUUUGUCGUGCUUGGCUCUGGACCGGAGAGGAUACAUGUAGUGGCAGCCACUGUAGGGUGGCCUGGAGCCUGCUGUGCCGUCCAAAGCACUUAGGUGGUCUGGGAGUCAUGGACUUUGGAAAAUUUGGCCUCGCCUUAAGGUUGAGAUGGAUGUGGCUGGCAUGGCGCGAACCGGACAGACCAUGGGCGCAAGGCCCGCUUCCAUGUGAUUCUGUCGAGCAGGAGCUUUUC
This 240-nucleotide ribosomal RNA is filed under the name Triticum aestivum (bread wheat). RNAcentral's name for it is "partial small subunit ribosomal RNA". Lineage: Eukaryota; Viridiplantae; Streptophyta; Magnoliopsida; Poales; Poaceae. The record is from RNAcentral.